CAAGGUCGAGGGGCAGCAUGGGAGUUGCUUGCAACUCCGAUGGCGACCGGCGCACGGGUGAGUAACGCGUAUCCAACCUGGCCCUUAGUAGGGAACAGCCCGGCGAAAGUCGGAUUAAUGCCCUAUGUUUUCCAAUGAUGGCAUCUGACUUGGAACAAAGAUUCAUCGCUAAGGGAUGGGGAUGCGUCUGAUUAGCUUGUCGGCGGGGUAACGGCCCACCGAGGCGACGAUCAGUAGGGGUUCUGAGAGGAAGGUCCCCCACAUUGGUACUGAGACACGGACCAAACUCCUACGGGAGGCAGCAGUGAGGAAUAUUGGUCAAUGGGCGUAAGCCUGAACCAGCCAAGUAGCGUGCAAGGAAGACUGCCCUAUGGGUUGUAAACUGCUUUUAUGCGGGAAUAAAGUCAGGUACGCGUACCUGUUUGUAUGUACCGCAUGAAUAAGGACCGGCUAAUUCCGUGCCAGCAGCCGC
This 472-nucleotide ribosomal RNA is filed under the name uncultured bacterium. Its description in RNAcentral is "bacterial SSU rRNA". It matches the Rfam family "Bacterial small subunit ribosomal RNA", at positions 58 to 518 of the family's 1533-position model. The record is from RNAcentral.